RNAcentral lists this ribosomal RNA (465 nucleotides) under uncultured bacterium. Its description in RNAcentral is "partial 16S ribosomal RNA". It matches the Rfam family "Bacterial small subunit ribosomal RNA", at positions 339 to 795 of the family's 1533-position model. The record is from RNAcentral.
CUACGGGAGGCUCCAGUGAGGAAUUUUGCGCAAUGGGGGAAACCCUGACGCAGCAACGCCGCGUGGGUGAUGAAGGCCUUCGGGUCGUAAAACUCUGUCAAGUGGGAAGAACCUACGUAGUGCUAAUAUCCCUAUGUACUGACGGUACCACUGAAGGAAGCACCGGCUAACUCCGUGCCAGCAGCCGCGGUAAUACGGAGGGUGCAAGCGUUAUUCGGAAUUAUUGGGCGUAAAGGGCGCGUAGGCGGCCCGGUAAGUCAGGUGUGAAAGCCCGGGGCUCAACCCCGGAAGUGCAUUUGAUACUGCAAGGCUUGAGUAUGGGAGAGGGAAGUGGAAUUCCUGGUGUAGAGGUGAAAUGCGUAGAUAUCAGGAGGAACACCGGUGGCGAAGGCGACUUCCUGGACCAAUACUGACGCUGAGGCGCGAAGGCGUGGGUAGCAAACAGGAUUAGAUACCCGAGUAGUC